CAAUCAUCAGAUAAUCAAACAAGAAGCGUUUUUCUGAACUUAUAUUUUCUGCCAGCGUAUGACUAUAAACUAAUAUGAAUUCACUCAUCAUAUGAGACACGUGUUUGAUGUGCGCGUGCUUCAUCUGCAAUAGUAGGUAGGCUACUUUAACUUACAAUUAACUUGCUGCAAUUUCACUUUAGUGUAACGUUGACAUCUGUGGGGUGAAAAAUGGAGCUUCUGACAAGCGGCUCGCUGGAUUUUCUUUAACAUUUACAACAUCAUAACUUGCAUUUUUCUUGACCAACAGCUUUCGUCGUGUUUAUCAAGGCGUGAAGAAAUUUGUAAAACUGCACAGCGAUAGUACGUUCCAAGACUUUCUCACUGAAGAGCUGAUGAAGCUGAAGUUAUGCAAAAGGUGAAUGAAACUUUCAGAAGAACUGGUACAUAAUCCUGAAAGAUCAGCUGACGUCCUUGAUGUCUUUCCAAGAUAUUUGGAUGUAAAAGAAUUGCCUAUCAAAACAACAACACUGUGGGAGACUGCAUUCAAGCAAAAGAUCUUCAGUGAAGCCCAGUCUCUUACUUCAGCAGCAGAAAUUCAGUGUCUUCUCAAUGCAGCAGGUGGACAAGGACCUAAAAAUGGUUGAAAUGAUUUGUGAGGAUGUCAGUUUCAUAUUUGCUCUGGUUUCUUGUUAUUGUGAGCACUAAAUGCUUGUUUUUGUUUUAUCCUAAAUCGCCCACCACCCCCUAAACAUCAUCUCAUUCAGAUUGGGACAGUGACAUGUCAUCUGUCCAGCUGCAGUUGCAUCUCCUGCCUCCUGCUCUAGGGAGGAAGAAGACUAAGAUCAGUCCAACAGAGGCUGCUGACAGACUUGUGCAUUUCCAUAAGGUAAAACUAGCAGUACUGUUGCAGAGUCAUUGUGAAUGUUUAAAUGCAGUGGUUUUAAUCAUGGUCCUUGGGAUUCACCCCUCUGCACAUUUUUGU
Molecule: long non-coding RNA, 964 nt
Organism: Cyprinus carpio (common carp)
Lineage: Eukaryota; Metazoa; Chordata; Actinopteri; Cypriniformes; Cyprinidae
Exons: 3
Source: RefSeq, a predicted model, not a curated record